GGUAAAAAGUCAUCCCCAUCUAAAUAAUCCCCAACAGUUUCGAGGGAGGACAACACAGGUAAGCAAAUAAUUCAAAAAAAAAAAAGCGAAGGUUUCAUUAAUAGGAGACGCACUUCCUAGUUUGAAAUCAUUAGAGUUCUACCCAUAGGAGAUGCAUUUCCUCCUAAGUUCAUUUUUACCCAUAGGAGACGCAUUUCCUCCUAAGUUUAUGUUUUACCCAUAGGAGAUGCAUUUCCUCCUAAGUGGUUGUUAAAGAUAUAAAAAAAAAAAAACAAGACCUAGUCUGAUGAACCUUCUCCUAGGAUCAAAAUCUUAGUCUGACGAAUUUCUUCUCCUAAGAUAGAGACCUAGUCUGACGAACCUUCUCCUAGGAUCAAAAUCUUAGCCUGAUGAACCUUCUCCUAAGAUACCAAAAAGAAAAGACCUAGUCUGAUGAACCUUCUCCUAGGAUCAAAAUCUUAGUCUGACGAAUUUUUCUCCUAAGAUAGAGACCUAGUCUGAUGAACCUUCUUCUAGGAUCAAAAUCUUAGUCUGAUGAAUCUUUCUCCUAAGAUAACCAAAAAACGAAAAUGACCUAGUCUGAUGAACCUUCUCCUAGGAUCAAAAUCUUAGUCUGACGAAUUUUUCUCCUAAGAUAGAGACCUAGUCUGACGAACCUUCUCCUAGGAUCAAAAUCUUAGUCUGAUGAAUUUUUCUCCUAAGAUAGAGACCUAGUCUGACGAACCUUCUCCUGGGAUCAAAAUCUUAGUCUGAUGAAUCUUUCUCCUAAGAUACCAAAAAAACAAGACCUAGUCUGAUGAACCUUCUCCUAGGAUCAAAAUCUUAGUCUGAUGAAUUUUUUUCCUAAGAUAGAGACCUAGUCUGACGAACCUUCUCCUAGGAUCAAAAUCUUAGUCUGAUGAAUCUUUCUCCUACGAUACCAAAAAAAACAGACCUAGUCUGAUGAACCUUCUCCUAGGAUCCAAAUCUUAGUCUGGUGAAUUUUUCUCCUAAGAUAGAGACCUAGUCUGACGAACCUUCUCCUAGGAUCAAAAUCUUAGUCUGAUGAAUCUUUCUCCUAAGAUAACCAAAAAGAAAAGACCUAGUCUGAUGAACCUUCUCCUAGGAUCAAAAUCUUAGUCUGACGAAUUUUUCUCCUAAGAUAGAGAACUAGUCUGAUGAACCUUCUCCUAGGAUCAAAAUCUUAGUCGGACGAAUUUUUCUCCUAAGAUAACAAAAAGAAAAGACCUAGUC
Molecule: long non-coding RNA, 1233 nt
Filed under: Nicotiana tabacum (common tobacco)
Lineage: Eukaryota; Viridiplantae; Streptophyta; Magnoliopsida; Solanales; Solanaceae
Description: long non-coding RNA (NTAB_LNC000712)
Source: RNAcentral